RNAcentral lists this ribosomal RNA (1500 nucleotides) under metagenome. RNAcentral's name for it is "bacterial SSU rRNA". It matches the Rfam family "Bacterial small subunit ribosomal RNA". The record is from RNAcentral.
AGAGUUUGAUCAUGGCUCAGGUUGAACGCUGGCGGCAGGCCUAACACAUGCAAGUCGAACAGUAACAGGAAGCAGCUUGCUACUUCGCUGACGAGUGGCGGACGGGUGAGUAAUGUCUGGGAAGCUGCCUGAUGGAGGGGGAUAACUACUGGAAACGGUAGCUAAUACCGCAUAAUGUCGCAAGACCAAAGAGGGGGACCUUCGGGCCUCUUGCCAUCGGAUGUGCCCAGAUGGGAUUAGCUUGUUGGUGGGGUAACGGCUCACCAAGGCGACGAUCCCUAGCUGGUCUGAGAGGAUGACCAGCCACACUGGAACUGAGACACGGUCCAGACUCCUACGGGAGGCAGCAGUGGGGAAUAUUGCACAAUGGGCGCAAGCCUGAUGCAGCCAUGCCGCGUGUAUGAAGAAGGCCUUCGGGUUGUAAAGUACUUUCAGCGGGGAGGAAGGGAGUAAAGUUAAUACCUUUGCUCAUUGACGUUACCCGCAGAAGAAGCACCGGCUAACUCCGUGCCAGCAGCCGCGGUAAUACGGAGGGUGCAAGCGUUAAUCGGAAUUACUGGGCGUAAAGCGCACGCAGGCGGUUUGUUAAGUCAGAUGUGAAAUCCCCGGGCUCAACCUGGGAACUGCAUCUGAUACUGGCAAGCUUGAGUCUCGUAGAGGGGGGUAGAAUUCCAGGUGUAGCGGUGAAAUGCGUAGAGAUCUGGAGGAAUACCGGUGGCGAAGGCGGCCCCCUGGACGAAGACUGACGCUCAGGUGCGAAAGCGUGGGGAGCAAACAGGAUUAGAUACCCUGGUAGUCCACGCCGUAAACGAUGUCGACUUGGAGGUUGUGCCCUUGAGGCGUGGCUUCCGGAGCUAACGCGUUAAGUCGACCGCCUGGGGAGUACGGCCGCAAGGUUAAAACUCAAAUGAAUUGACGGGGGCCCGCACAAGCGGUGGAGCAUGUGGUUUAAUUCGAUGCAACGCGAAGAACCUUACCUGGUCUUGACAUCCACGGAAGUUUUCAGAGAUGAGAAUGUGCCUUCGGGAACCGUGAGACAGGUGCUGCAUGGCUGUCGUCAGCUCGUGUUGUGAAAUGUUGGGUUAAGUCCCGCAACGAGCGCAACCCUUAUCCUUUGUUGCCAGCGGUCCGGCCGGGAACUCAAAGGAGACUGCCAGUGAUAAACUGGAGGAAGGUGGGGAUGACGUCAAGUCAUCAUGCCCCUUACGACCAGGGCUACACACGUGCUACAAUGGCGCAUACAAAGAGAAGCGACCUCGCGAGAGCAAGCGGACCUCAUAAAGUGCGUCGUAGUCCGGAUUGGAGUCUGCAACUCGACUCCAUGAAGUCGGAAUCGCUAGUAAUCGUGGAUCAGAAUGCCACGGUGAAUACGUUCCCGGGCCUUGUACACACCGCCCGUCACACCAUGGGAGUGGGUUGCAAAAGAAGUAGGUAGCUUAACCUUCGGGAGGGCGCUUACCACUUUGUGAUUCAUGACUGGGGUGAAGUCGUAACAAGGUA